CUUCCCUUGUCACUGAACUACAAAGACAGCCUCGGGCCGCAGCCGAGGCGGUAGCGGGGCGGGGUGAGGGUGUGUGAUCGGACGCCUUCGCACGCGGGGGCGCCGUGGGUGAAGUUACGCAAAGCCUCCGGGCACCGCUAGACUUCCGAGCUUCUGCAGGUCGUUAAGCCCUGGUUCGCGCUCGCGGGGAGCCCCUUUCGGCGGUGGGGCCGCCUGCUGCCUGCGUGCCCCCAGCCACCUCUCCGGAGGCCCAGCGCCUCCGGUGUGCCCGUUUCCCUCCGCGUGCGUGCCGGGGUCCCAUCGGAACAGAAAGUUUUGAGGGAGUUUACUGUUUGUGCAAGAUGACCGGUUGAGUAAAGAAGUCCAAAGUUUAUUAUCUGCAGAACAAAUAAAGCCUGGGCAAAGUGUCUUCUGAAGACCUGCCUGCUCUCCCCAGGGGCUGCUACAGGAUGCUGGGUUCCAAGUGGCCACGGCCCUUACCUUCUGACUCAGGCAUGCUUCCUGUGGAAUGUCCAGUAUCUCUGGGAACAGUGUCCAGCAGCCACCAGUUUAAGUUUCCAGCAUCACAAAAUGGAAGGAGUUUGUGUUCCUUGGAAGAGAGCCUCUGAGGACAUUGGCCGGGCUUGCCCUGGACAUGAGGGAGGAAUAACCCUACGUAUGAAUCACUGAGAUCGUUGUUACAAUAUCCGCAGUGGGUGUGAAUAUUGUUCUCAAAGUGCUGUAAUACAUCUGUCUCUGGAGAAUUCUUGUAACGAACAAGCAGAAAUUUGAGGCACCACCGACAAAGUGGGUUGAACGGCUGGCCGCCUUCCAUUGUGUCUUGGGAAAGUCAACCGAAGUCCCCUGGAGUAAGAUUACAAGCAAAUAAAUAACUUUGUGUGGAAUUUCUAUAAAGAGAAGUAUGUGUGUGUGUGUGUGUGUGUGUGUGUGUGUGUGUGUGUGCCUAAAUGGCUUGACUAUAAGCAACCAGUUGAAUUUGUUUUAAACAAUAUCCUUCAAAGUAACUAUUCUAGAUCAGCAUUUUGAAUUUUUUAUUUUUAAAUUUACAAACAGUGAAAUUUACUCUUUGGGGUGUAGAGUUCUAUAGUUUUGACAAACUCAUAGUUGUGUAAACACUACCAAGAUGAAGAUACAGAGCAGUUCCAUCAACACUCCUUUGGGCCGUUUCUUUGUAGUCAAACCUUUCAUCCCAAACCCUGAAAAUCUUAAAUAUAUGAUUAUAUAUAUGAUUAGCUUCUACAAUGACUAGAACAGUGUCCUGGAAUCAUAUUUUAAAUAUAUAUAAAUGUUUAUAUACAUAACAAAAUGAGUAAAACAACAUCACCUGCACAUUUUAAAGGAAGGUUUUAUGUAUAAGAUUUCAUAUGUAAAUAACAAGAAAGCCAACUUUUCUUGGUCAGGAAAUGUUUACUUUGCUCAGUACAUUCAUUGAGUGCAGGGACAGGAACCGAACCCACUAUUGUACCAACUUGAAUAAAAGUGCUUAUGACAUGUGCAUUGGAUUGAAUGUCAACCCACCAAUUUGUACUUACAAUUUUAAAAGCUCAUUACAGCUAUACCUAAAGAUGGGACACUUAGUGUCACAACUGUGCCUUAAAAACAGCCAAGAAAAAGAGGUGAGGUAACGAGGAAGAGGUGAAAGAUUGUGUGUGUGUGUGUGUGUGUGUGUGUGUGCGCGCCCAAGCUAGCCCUCUAGAUUAAUGAUAGAAAUUGACUUGUUUUCGUACAUGGACAAUACUAGAUAUGUAUAUGACUAAAUGACUGGGAGCUAAUGAUCUUAAGGAGAGAACUAUUAGAAAAAUUAUUAAUUCAGAUUUUAGACUUAUGUUUGCACGGGUGAUCUUUGUUUACUUCAAUAAGACACCAGGAUUUAUAUGAAAAUACUGAGUAAGGUUGGAUUCUUAUCAGGAAAGUGUAAGAAGUGUCAGGAGUAAUUCAGCAUAGCAUCUCUUUCUUACAGGGCAUAUUGACAAAAUUACUAAAGAAAUCUUAUUUUAAGCAAAUAA
This is a non-coding RNA of Manis javanica (Malayan pangolin), 2006 nucleotides long. The record is from RefSeq and is a predicted model, not a curated record. Lineage: Eukaryota; Metazoa; Chordata; Mammalia; Pholidota; Manidae.